GACGAACGCUGGCGGCGUGCUUAACACAUGCAAGUCGAACGGAAAGGCCCUGCUUUUGUGGGGUGCUCGAUUGGCGAACGGGUGAGUAACACGUGAGUAACCUGCCCUUGACUUUGGGAUAACUUCAGGAAACUGGGGCUAAUACCGGUUAGGAUCUCCUGCUGCAUGGUGGUGGUUGGAAAGUUUCGGCGGUUGGGGAUGGACUCGCGGCUUAUCAGCUUGUUUGUGGGGUAGUGGCUUACGAAGGCUUUGACGGGUAGCCGGCCUGAGAGGGUGACCGGCCACAUUGGGACUGCGAUACGGCCCAGACGCCUACGGGAGGCAGCAGUGGGGAAUAUUGCACAAUGGGCGGAAGCCUGAUGCAGCAACGCCGCGUGCGGGAUGACGGCCUUCGGGUUGUAAACCGCUUUCGCCUGUGACGAAGCGUGAGUGACGGUAAUGGGUAAAGAAGCACCGGCUAACUACGUG
RNAcentral lists this ribosomal RNA (468 nucleotides) under uncultured bacterium. Its description in RNAcentral is "partial 16S ribosomal RNA". It matches the Rfam family "Bacterial small subunit ribosomal RNA", at positions 28 to 507 of the family's 1533-position model. The record is from RNAcentral.